UACGGAGGGUGCAAGCGUUAUCCGGAUUCACUGGGUUUAAAGGGUGCGUAGGCGGGCAGGUAAGUCCGUGGUGAAAUCUCUGAGCUUAACUCAGAAACUGCCAUGGAUACUAUUUGUCUUGAAUAUUGUGGAGGUAAGCGGAAUAUGUCAUGUAGCGGUGAAAUGCUUAGAUAUGACAUAGAACAUCGAUUGCGAAGGCAGCUCGCUACACUAUCAUUGACACUGAGGCACGAAAGCGUGGGGAUCAAACAGG
RNAcentral lists this ribosomal RNA (253 nucleotides) under uncultured bacterium. RNAcentral describes it as "partial 16S ribosomal RNA". It matches the Rfam family "Bacterial small subunit ribosomal RNA", at positions 524 to 776 of the family's 1533-position model. The record is from RNAcentral.